RNAcentral lists this unclassified non-coding RNA (220 nucleotides) under Hevea brasiliensis (rubber tree). The record is from RNAcentral. Lineage: Eukaryota; Viridiplantae; Streptophyta; Magnoliopsida; Malpighiales; Euphorbiaceae.
CUACCACCACUACCAUUAGUUUUUGCAACAUGUCUACGCCGGCAGAAUACUAUCGUUCUUUACCACCGGUGAGCAAGACCUAUGGGGUGGCUUGUUUGAUGACCACAGCUGCCUACUAUCUGCAUCUUUACAACGUCGGGAAUAUAGCACUCUUUUAUGAGGAUGUAAUUAAACGUUUCCAGGUAUGGAGGCUGAUUACCAAUUUCUUUUUUCUGGGGCC